UACAUUCGCGCCGAUUUUGGUUUCUUAUUCUUUUUGAUCAUCAGAAUAUAGAAUUAAAAGGGAAUUUGGUGUAAAUCCAAAGCUGUCCCCGCAACUGUAAAACUUAUUUAAAGGCAUCAUUAAUAAAACCACUGUAGCAAAACUAUGGGAAGGUAAAUGAUUGCUUGAGUUGAGUCAGGAUACCUGCCUAAAUCAAAAACAUAAUC
This 206-nucleotide non-coding RNA is filed under the name Tenacibaculum dicentrarchi. Lineage: Bacteria; Pseudomonadati; Bacteroidota; Flavobacteriia; Flavobacteriales; Flavobacteriaceae. The record is from RNAcentral.